Molecule: small nucleolar RNA, 69 nt
Filed under: Sphenodon punctatus (tuatara)
Lineage: Eukaryota; Metazoa; Chordata; Lepidosauria; Sphenodontia; Sphenodontidae
Description: Small nucleolar RNA SNORD73 (ENSSPUG00000014374.1)
Rfam family: Small nucleolar RNA SNORD73
About the family: U73 is a member of the C/D class of snoRNA which contain the C (UGAUGA) and D (CUGA) box motifs. U73 is encoded within the introns of ribosomal protein S3a and contains a 12nt region of complementarity to a conserved sequence in 28S ribosomal RNA.
Source: Rfam by way of RNAcentral
AAUGAAUGACGACACUAUGUUUCGGUCCCAGAUGACACCAAAUGAUUAUACUGUUCUUUCUCUGACAUU